GGGUUGUGAGGUUAAGCGACUAAGCGUACACGGUGGAUGCCCUGGCAGUCAGAGGCGAUGAAGGACGUGCUAAUCUGCGAAAAGCGCCGGCGAGGUGAUAUGAACCUUUGACCCGGCGAUGUCCGAAUGGGGAAACCCAGUGUGUUCCGACACACUAUCGUUAACUGAAUACAUAGGUUAACGAGGCGAACCGGGGGAACUGAAACAUCUAAGUACCCCGAGGAAAAGAAAUCAACCGAGAUUCCCCCAGUAGCGGCGAGCGAACGGGGAGCAGCCCAGAGUCUGAAUCAGCUUGUGUGUUAGUGGAAGCGUCUGGAAAGUCGCACGGUACAGGGUGAUAGUCCCGUACACGAAAGCACACAUGCUGUGAACUCGAAGAGUAGGGCGGGACACGUGGUAUCCUGUCUGAAUAUGGGGGGACCAUCCUCCAAGGCUAAAUACUCCUGACUGACCGAUAGUGAACCAGUACCGUGAGGGAAAGGCGAAAAGAACCCCGGCGAGGGGAGUGAAAAAGAACCUGAAACCGUGUACGUACAAGCAGUGGGAGCCUCUUUUAUGGGGUGACUGCGUACCUUUUGUAUAAUGGGUCAGCGACUUAUAUUCUGUAGCAAGGUUAACCGUAUAGGGGAGCCGAAGGGAAACCGAGUCUUAACUGGGCGUUAAGUUGCAGGGUAUAGACCCGAAACCCGGUGAUCUAGCCAUGGGCAGGUUGAAGGUUGGGUAACACUAACUGGAGGACCGAACCGACUAAUGUUGAAAAAUUAGCGGAUGACUUGUGGCUGGGGGUGAAAGGCCAAUCAAACCGGGAGAUAGCUGGUUCUCCCCGAAAGCUAUUUAGGUAGCGCCUCGUGAACUCAUCUUCGGGGGUAGAGCACUGUUUCGGCUAGGGGGCCAUCCCGGCUUACCAACCCGAUGCAAACUACGAAUACCGAAGAAUGUUAUCACGGGAGACACACGGCGGGUGCUAACGUCCGUCGUGAAGAGGGAAACAACCCAGACCGCCAGCUAAGGUCCCAAAGUCAUGGUUAAGUGGGAAACGAUGUGGGAAGGCACAGACAGCCAGGAUGUUGGCUUAGAAGCAGCCAUCAUUUAAAGAAAGCGUAAUAGCUCACUGGUCGAGUCGGCCUGCGCGGAAGAUGUAACGGGGCUAAACCAUGCACCGAAGCUGCGGCAGCGACGCUUAUGCGUUGUUGGGUAGGGGAGCGUUCUGUAAGCCGUUGAAGGUGGCCUGUGAGGGUUGCUGGAGGUAUCAGAAGUGCGAAUGCUGACAUAAGUAACGAUAAUGCGGGUGAAAAGCCCGCACGCCGGAAGACCAAGGGUUCCUGUCCAACGUUAAUCGGGGCAGGGUGAGUCGACCCCUAAGGCGAGGCCGAAAGGCGUAGUCGAUGGGAAACAGGUUAAUAUUCCUGUACUUGGUGUUACUGCGAAGGGGGGACGGAGAAGGCUAUGUUAGCCGGGCGACGGUUGUCCCGGUUUAAGCAUGUAGGCGGAGAGUUUAGGUAAAUCCGGACUCUUUUUAACGCUGAGGUGUGAUGACGAGGCACUACGGUGCUGAAGUAACAAAUGCCCUGCUUCCAGGAAAAGCCUCUAAGCAUCAGGUAACAUCAAAUCGUACCCCAAACCGACACAGGUGGUCAGGUAGAGAAUACCAAGGCGCUUGAGAGAACUCGGGUGAAGGAACUAGGCAAAAUGGUGCCGUAACUUCGGGAGAAGGCACGCUGAUAUGUAGGUGAAGCCCCUGCGGGUGGAGCUGAAAUCAGUCGAAGAUACCAGCUGGCUGCAACUGUUUAUUAAAAACACAGCACUGUGCAAACACGAAAGUGGACGUAUACGGUGUGACGCCUGCCCGGUGCCGGAAGGUUAAUUGAUGGGGUUAGCGGCAACGCGAAGCUCUUGAUCGAAGCCCCGGUAAACGGCGGCCGUAACUAUAACGGUCCUAAGGUAGCGAAAUUCCUUGUCGGGU
This 1963-nucleotide ribosomal RNA is filed under the name Mesorhizobium sp. RNAcentral's name for it is "partial 23S ribosomal RNA". It matches the Rfam family "Bacterial large subunit ribosomal RNA", at positions 1 to 1977 of the family's 2925-position model. Lineage: Bacteria; Pseudomonadati; Pseudomonadota; Alphaproteobacteria; Hyphomicrobiales; Phyllobacteriaceae. The record is from RNAcentral.